This 406-nucleotide ribosomal RNA is filed under the name uncultured bacterium. RNAcentral's name for it is "partial 16S ribosomal RNA". It matches the Rfam family "Bacterial small subunit ribosomal RNA", at positions 30 to 526 of the family's 1533-position model. The record is from RNAcentral.
AUUGCACGCUGGCGGCAGGCCUAACACAUGCACGUCGAGCGAGCGGCGGACGGGUGAGUAAUGUAUGGGGAUCUGCCUGAUGGAGGGGGAUAACUACUGGAAACGGUAGCUAAUACCGCAUACUAUCGGAUGAACCCAUAUGGGAUUAGCUUGUAGGUGGGGAAACGGCUUACCUAGGCGACGAUCUCUCGCUGGUCUGAGAGGAUGAUCAGCCACACUGGGACUGAGAAAAGGUCCAGACUCCUACGGGAGGCAGCAGUGGGGAAUAUUGCACAAUGGGCGCAAGCCUGAUGCAGCCAUGCCGCGUGUAUGAAGAAGGCCUUCGGGUUGUAAAGUACUUUCAGUCGGGAGGCGUUACCGACAGAAGAAGCACCGGCUAACUCCGUGCCAGCAGCCGCGGUAAUAC